UAAGUCGAACGGAGUUGUGUUGAAGCUUGCUGGAUAUACAACUUAGUCGCGGACGGGUGAGUAACACGUGAGUAACCUGCCUCUCAGAGUGGAAUAACGUUUGGAAACGAACGCUAAUACCGCAUAACGUGAGAAGAGGGCAUCCUCUUUUUACCAAAGAUUUAUCGCUGAGAGAUGGGCUCGCGGCCGAUUAGGUAGUUGGUGAGGUAACAGCCCACCAAGCCGACGAUCGGUAGCCGGACUGAGAGGUUGAUCGGCCACAUUGGGACUGAGACACGGCCCAGACUCCUACGGGAGGCAGCAGUGGGGGAUAUUGCACAAUGGGGGAAACCCUGAUGCAGCGACGCCGCGUGAGGGAAGACGGUUUUCGGAUUGUAAACCUCUGUCUUUAGGGACGAAAAAAUGACGGUACCUAAGGAGGAAGCCACGGCUAACUACGUGCCAGCAGCCGCGGUAAUACGUAGGUGGCAAGCGUUGUCCGGAAUUACUGGGUGUAAAGGGAGCGUAGGCGGGGAGACAAGUUGAAUGUCUAAACUAUCGGCUUAACUGAUAGUCGCGUUCAAAACUAUCACUCUUGAGUGCAGUAGAGGUAGGCGGAAUUCCUAGUGUAGCGGUGAAAUGCGUAGAUAUUAGGAGGAACACCAGUGGCGAAGGCGGCCUACUGGGCUGUAACUGACGCUGAGGCUCGAAAGCGUGGGUAGCAAACAGGA
This 710-nucleotide ribosomal RNA is filed under the name uncultured bacterium. RNAcentral describes it as "bacterial SSU rRNA". It matches the Rfam family "Bacterial small subunit ribosomal RNA", at positions 58 to 777 of the family's 1533-position model. The record is from RNAcentral.